RNAcentral lists this ribosomal RNA (492 nucleotides) under uncultured bacterium. Its description in RNAcentral is "partial 16S ribosomal RNA". It matches the Rfam family "Bacterial small subunit ribosomal RNA", at positions 29 to 507 of the family's 1533-position model. The record is from RNAcentral.
AGUGAACGCUGGCGGUAGGCCUAACACAUGCAAGUCGAACGGCAGCACAGUAAGAGCUUGCUCUUACGGGUGGCGAGUGGCUGACGGGUGAGGAAUACAUCGGAAUCUACUUUUUCGUGGGGGAUAACGUAGGGAAACUUACGCUAAUACCGCAUACGACCUACGGGUGAAAGCAGGGGAUCUUCGGACCUUGCGCGAUUGAAUGAGCCGAUGUCGGAUUAGCUAGUUGGCGGGGUAAAGGCCCACCAAGGCGACGAUCCGUAGCUGGUCUGAGAGGAUGAUCAGCCACACUGGAACUGAGACACGGUCCAGACUCCUACGGGAGGCAGCAGUGGGGAAUAUUGGACAAAGGGCGCAAGCCUGAUCCAGCCAUACCGCGUGGGUGAAGAAGGCCUUCGGGUUGUAAAGCCCUUUUGUUGGGAAAGAAAAGCAGCAGGUUAAUACCCCGCUGUUCUGACGGUACCCAAAGAAUAAGCACCGGCUAACUUCGUG